ACUAUUGAAUUCUCUCUCGUCAACUACCUUGUUCCACUGCCUUUAAAAACCAAUUUCAACAGUAAUCCAAACCCAAUUCCCUCAUUCAUCACUUCUUCAUUUUGCUCCAUUUUUAUUCUGUAAUAAUGGCCACUACUGAUUUGAAAUCCGAUUACUUGUUUGAGAUGAUGAAACUUCACUUGGCUUCUGAUGCUGGUAAAUAGCUCAUCAAGAAGAUUGGCCUCGUUUACCAAAUCAAUAUUGCCCCCAAGAAAAUUGGGAUGGAUGAGGUUUCUUACGUUGUUGAUCUCAAGAAAGGAGAAGCUACCUAACGUUAGCGGAGUUGUCCUUUUUCUGCAAUUAUAUUCUGCUCUUGUUUUUUUUUUUUUACUUUUCUUUUGUUAUUAUAGCGGUGUUUGGGUUUGUUUCUUUUGCUCUGCCUGUUGAUAAAUUGUAGCUUUCUAACUUGUAAGGAUGGAAUUGGGUUUGAAGUUUGUAUCUUCUGCAACCUAUAUGUUAUGUGAAUAUGUAAGGUAUGAAACUUGAAUCACACAUCGAAAGUAUUCUUCUAGUUAGAGCAGUUCUGGUAUAAUAUGUAGUUUUUCUGGCGUUGUUUUCCAAAGAAUUACAUCAAUUGGGGUUGAAACCAUGCACCAUAUCUCUUGCUGCAACCGUGUCACACCAAUCAUGGGGCCGAAAUAGUAGUGUAUGUCCCGAGCUAGAUUAAGUUAAGCAUUGUGGCGUCCGAUGGGGUGUCUUAAUUGCGUUGUGAUAGGUGUGCAUAAUUGCAUGUCGUGAGAGUUAAAUCUCACAUCGAAAAUGUUAGAUUUCCUUAUGGAAUUUAUAUGGAUUUAAGCUCUCAUAUUCUGAUAUUGGCGAGUUAACCAUUGCUCCUUUUCCAGUAACUAUAUUCUGAAGCCAUUAGGGAUCUUUCCCUUUUCUUAUGCCUUCUCAGCUUCUCUAUCGUCUUUAUUUGCGUAUUCAACUAUCGCUAUGAAAACCGUAGCAAAGCAGAUCCCAUUUAACUAAUUCAAUAGCUUCACCAUUGUUGUUUUUCACCAUCAACACAUCCUAUUUAGUUUCUUUUCAGCUUUCCCUUCUUUCCUUUAUUAGUUUUUCAAUGGCAAAAUCCAUUAAUUUCACCUAACUAGCAGGUUAGGGGGUUAUUGGUUACCUAACUCUCUUUAACAGAUGAUCUUAUGUUAAAGAUAAGCGAUACCGCUUGUUUCAGUAAGUAUUUUGCCUUUUGAAAUUGCUUCUCAUGACUUUGCAUGUGGUUACUAAAUUAUCUCUGUAGCAUGCUCUUAGAGAUUCAAGCAUGAUUACAUCAAUGAAUAGAUUUAAACGAGCCAUUCACUCUUUCACUAAUAUGAUUUAUGAAGUUGAUAAUGACCUAUUGCUCUGAACAUUAGGUAAAUAUGAAGGGGGAAAGCCUGAUGCUACGUUUUCCUUCAAAGACAACGACUUUGUAAAGGUCGCCACUGGGAAGAUGAAUACCCAGAUGGCUUUUAUGAGGGGUGCGAUGAAGAUCAAGGGAAGCUUGAGUGCUGCUCAGAAAUUCACACCCGACAUUUUUCCAAAGCCAGCAAAGAUGUGAGCAGAGAUGUUAUGGUGCUUGAAUGCUAUGAUAUUAGUAGGUUACCAAAUAGGAUGGCUUCUAAUCGUUAAUGAUUUGGAUUUUAAAAGCUCCUGUCGUAUUUAUUGAUCAAUUGCAGCAUGUUUAUUUAUUCCACUGAAAUUAUAUGCUUUGU
Long non-coding RNA from Hibiscus syriacus, 1730 nucleotides. RefSeq lists it as uncharacterized. The transcript is spliced from 3 exons. The record is from RefSeq and is a predicted model, not a curated record. Lineage: Eukaryota; Viridiplantae; Streptophyta; Magnoliopsida; Malvales; Malvaceae.